CCUACGGGAGGCAGCAGUGGGGAAUUGUUCGCAAUGGGCGCAAGCCUGACGACGCAGCGCCGCGUGGAGGAUGAAGACCUUCGGGUCGUAAACUCCUUUCGAUCGAGACGAAUGUUUUCCGGGUGAACAAUCCGGAAAAGUGACGGUACCGAGAGAAGAAGCCCCGGCUAACUCUGUGCCAGCAGCCGCGGUAAUACAGGGGGGGCAAGCGUUGUUCGGAAUUACUGGGCGUAAAGGGCUUGUAGGUGGCCAACUAAGUCAGACGUGAAAUCCCUCAGCUUAACUGGGGAACUGCGUCUGAUACUGGAUGGCUUGAGUUUGGGAGAGGGAUGCGGAAUUCCAGGUGUAGCGGUGAAAUGCGUAGAUAUCUGGAGGAACACCGGUGGCGAAGGCGGCAUCCUGGACCAACACUGACACUGAGGAGCGAAAGCCAGGGGAGCAAACGGGGAUUAGAUACCCCGGUAGUCCUGGCCCUAAACGAUGAAUGCUUGGUGUGGCGGGUAUCGAUCCCUGCCGUGCCGAAGCUAACGCAUUAAGCAUUCCGCCUGGGGAGUACGGUCGCGAGCGNGAACGACAAGUAGAAGUUAGUACGGCGUGAGACGUAGCCGAACGGACGACGACGAGGGAGGAGG
RNAcentral lists this ribosomal RNA (632 nucleotides) under uncultured bacterium. RNAcentral describes it as "bacterial SSU rRNA". The stretch from base 1 to 546 matches the Rfam family "Bacterial small subunit ribosomal RNA", at positions 338 to 873 of the family's 1533-position model. The record is from RNAcentral.